RNAcentral lists this ribosomal RNA (368 nucleotides) under uncultured organism. RNAcentral's name for it is "bacterial SSU rRNA". It matches the Rfam family "Bacterial small subunit ribosomal RNA", at positions 526 to 896 of the family's 1533-position model. The record is from RNAcentral.
CGUAGGUGGCAAGCGUUGUCCGGAUUUAUUGGGUUUAAAGGGUGCGUAGGCGGUCUAUUAAGUCAGUGCUGAAAUACUCCAGCUUAACUGGAGGGGUGGCAUUGAUACUGAUGGACUUGAGUACAGAUGAGGUAGGCGGAAUUGACGGUGUAGCGGUGAAAUGCAUAGAUAUCGUCAAGAACACCGAUAGCGAAGGCAGCUUACUGGGCUGUAACUGACGCUGAUGCACGAAAGUGUGGGGAUCAAACAGGAUUAGAUACCCUGGUAGUCCACACUGUAAACGUUGAUUACUCGCUGUUUGCGAUACACAGCAAGCGGCUUAGCGAAAGCGAUAAGUAAUCCACCUGGGGAGUACGCCGGCAACGGUG